AGGGGCGGAUGUAGCCAAGUGGAUCAAGGCAGUGGAUUGUGAAUCC
RNAcentral lists this transfer RNA (46 nucleotides) under Aphananthe aspera. Its description in RNAcentral is "partial tRNA-His". The record is from RNAcentral. Lineage: Eukaryota; Viridiplantae; Streptophyta; Magnoliopsida; Rosales; Cannabaceae.